RNA transcript from Cucurbita maxima (winter squash), 3444 nucleotides. It is a transcript of the gene named C2 and GRAM domain-containing protein At5g50170-like, with no coding region annotated. Lineage: Eukaryota; Viridiplantae; Streptophyta; Magnoliopsida; Cucurbitales; Cucurbitaceae. The transcript has 10 exons. The record is from RefSeq and is a predicted model, not a curated record.
AAAAAGAAUUUGAUUCCAUGCGUGUUUUGCUUUGUGGAAAUGCAACAAGAACCACAAUCGGCGAGGCAAAUUAAGAAGGUUGCACAAUAUCUUGCAGCCGACAACCAAUCCAAUCCAAUCCCACCGACUAAUUCCACCCUUUAAGGGUUUUCUUCUUCCUUCCUCCUCGUGUCUUCUUCCCACAUAUUCCACGUCUCUUCCCAUGGCGGCUCUUCAAUUCCCCCCUCCUUACCCACUGGGCUAUCAAUCCUCUGUUCAUUGCCUUAAAAUCCCACCUACCCAUCUACCCAUUUGCGCGAUUUUCCAAACUUUUCCUGGAAUUUGAGUGUUUAAUCGAGGCAUGAGGCUGUAUGUGUAUGUAUUGGAGGCUAAGAAUCUCCUUGUGAAGGACUCGUUUGUGAAGCUACGGGUUGGGAGGCGUAAGGCUAAGACGAGGAUUAUGAGGAACAGUUGUAAUCCUGUUUGGAAUGAGGAGUUCAUUUUUAAGUUUCGUGAUGUGGAUGAGGAACUGGUUGUUUCUGUUUAUGAGCACAGUGAUGAGUCCAGAUUCUUCCAUGGUUCAUCGGGGUUGAUUGGUCGGGUUCGGAUUCCGAUAUGGAUGGUUGCUGAUGAGGAUUCACAGACCCUGCCGCCCACUUGGUUUGAUGUGCGAAGGUCUGGAACUGAGAAGUUCAUCAAUGAAGUUGCUGGGAAAGUGCUUCUUAUUGUCUCAUUACAUGGGAAAGUCAAUGUACUUAAUCAAUCAAGUGUUACUAAUGCUAAACAAUUGGAAGACUCGUCUACCAUUUCACAGGAUUUGGUCGGCUCGAAAUCUUCGUCCAGCAAGUCUAUCAAAGGGAAGUUUAACAAGAAGAGCAUUGUGACUCGAUUGGAGAGACUGUUCCAUAAGAGCGAUGAGGAUACAAGAACAGAUAAUUCUUCGGAGUUAUCAAGUGCCAUGUCUGAUAACGAAGAGCGCAUAAACGAGCAUCCCUCAGAAUGUAGCUUCGAUGAAGCCAUCGAGACGCUGCAGUCGAGGAGAAGUGAACAGGAAAUGCCAGAGAAUCUACCGGGCGGCGUUCUUGUCGAUCAAAUAUAUGUAGUUUCACCUGAUGAUUUGAACAAACUUCUGUUUGCUCCAGAUUCCAAGUUCAGGAGAGAACUAGCAGAACUUCAGGGAACAACAAAUUUAGAAGAAGGAAACUGGUCUUGGAAGCAAGGGGACGUACCGUGUCUAUCACGGAUCGUUUCUUACCGAAAAGCUGCAACGAAGGUCAUUGGAGCUAUUAAUGCUACCGAGGAGCAAACCUACAUCAAAGGGGACGGAUGGGAAUUCGCUGUCUUCGUAAACGUAAGUACACCUGAAGUUCCAUUUGGUAAUGCCUUCAAUGUUGAGUUACUUUACAAGAUAAUGCCUGGUCCUGAGCUAACCUCUGGAGAAGAGACGUCCCAUUUGGUAGUCUCUUGGGGCAUAAACUUCCUCCAUAGUACAAUGAUGAAAGGGAUGAUUGAAAAAGGCGUUCGACAGGGUAUGGAGGAAAGUUUUGUUCAAUUUACGAACGUGCUGGCACAGCAUUUAAAAGUACCGAAUUCAACCGAGUUACCGAACAAGGAUCUUGUGUUGUCGAGUUCUGAAAGUGACCGCCAAUCGGAUUUCGAAUUGGCCCGAAAAUACUUCUGGAACUUCACUAUAGUUUCUACCAUUUUCAUGCUGCUGUACAUACUUGCGCAUAUUACGCUUUGUAAGUCCAAAACAAUGCAAGGCUUGGAAUUCAUUGGAUUGGAUUUGCCAGAUAGUUUAGGAGAACUUGUUACUGGUGGGAUUUUAGUUCUUCAAUUGGAACGUGUUUAUAACGUGGUCUCACAUUUCAUUCAAGCUAGGCUAAAAAGAGAAGGUGACCAUGGUGUCAAAGGCCAAGGAAAUGGAUGGAUACUAACGGUUGCUCUUAUCGAAGGGGUGAACAUUUCGUCCUUGGAUUCUUCGGAUUCCUCGGACCCGUGUGUGGUUUUCACAUGCAAUGGUGAAAAAAGAACGAGCUCCGUUGAGCUUCAAACUCAUGAGCCUCAAUGGAAUGAGAUACUCGAGUUUGAUGCUAUGAAGGAACCGCCAUCAGUAUUAUAUGUGGAGGUUUUCAACUUCGAUGGCCCACUCGACCAGGCUACCUCGCUCGGACACGCAGAGAUCAAUUUCCUAAAAUAUAAAUCAACUGAACUUGCGGAUUUAUGGGUUCCUCUUGAGGGGAAGCUUGCUCAGUCUUCUCAAUCAAAGCUGCAUUUGAGAAUCUUCUUAGAUAAUACCGAUGGAGUCGAAACGAUGAGACAGUACUUGUCUAUGAAGGGAAAGGAGGUCGGGAAGAAGCUCCAUCCGAGGUCGCCUUACAGGAAUUCAACGUUUCAGAAACUUUUCGGGUUGCCAGCCGAAGAGUUUCUUGUCAGCGACUUCACUUGCUCCCUGAGAAGAAAAAUGCUUCUCCAGGGAAGACUAUUUCUAUCUGCCAGAAUCAUUGGGUUUUAUGCCAAUUUUUUUGGACAGAAAACAAAAUUUUUCUUUCUUUGGGAGGACAUUGAAGAUAUUCGAGUACUUCACCCGUCCCUCGCCUCUUUGGGUAGCCCAUCAUUGGUCGUAAUUCUUAAAAAAGGUCGAGGUCUCGAAGCAAGUCACGGUGCUAAGAUUCAAGACGAACAAGGAAGGCUUAGAUUUUACCUCCAAUCAUUUGUUUCAUUCAAUGUAGCCAGCAGGACGAUUAUGGGGAUGUGGAGAACAAGAACGUCGACCCUCAAUCAGAAAGUACAAGCUGCUGGAACGCCGAAUGAUUAGGAAGAAAGAUGUCAUUUGAUGAAGUUUGUACAGAACAAUCUGGAACGAGAUAGCUCGUGGGAAUUCGUGAGACCUGAUAUCACAUUGGAAGGCACAUCCAUACCAAUCCAACAGCAUUCUGGGGAUUAGGAGGAGGUUGGGUUUGAUUUCGGGGCCAGGCCGGGUGGAGAAAUCCAAUAUGAGGUUGGGUUCGAUUUCUAGGCCAGGCCGAGUAGAGAAAUCCAACAUUGAUUAGGAGGAGGUUGGGUUUGAUUUCCGGGUCAGACCGGGCUGAUAAAUCCAACAUUGAUUAGGAGGAGGUUGGGUUCGAUUUCUAGUCCAGGCCGGGUGGAGAAAUCCAACCUUGAUUAGGAGGAGGUUGGGUUCGAUUUCUAGGCCUGGCCGAGUAGAGAAAUCCAACAUUGAUUAGGAGGAGGCUGGGUUUGAUUUCUGGUCCAGGCCGGGUGGAGAAAUCCAACCUUGAUUAGGAGGAGGUUGGUUUCGAUUUCUAGUCCAGGCGGGGUGGAGAAAUCCAACCGUGAUUAGGAGGAGGUUGGGUUCGAUUUCUGGGUCGGACUGGCCGUAGAAAUCCAACAUGACAAGGAGGAGGUUGGGUUCGAUCCGGGCCAAGAGCUGGAGGUGAGGUCAUAAGAAAAGAUUAUCAUCAA